RNAcentral lists this ribosomal RNA (497 nucleotides) under uncultured bacterium. Its description in RNAcentral is "partial 16S ribosomal RNA". It matches the Rfam family "Bacterial small subunit ribosomal RNA", at positions 28 to 507 of the family's 1533-position model. The record is from RNAcentral.
GAUGAACGCUGGCGGCGUGCCUAAUACAUGCAAGUCGAGCGAACGGACGAGAAGCUUGCUUCUCUGAUGUUAGCGGCGGACGGGUGAGUAACACGUGGAUAACCUACCUAUAAGACUGGGAUAACUUCGGGAAACCGGAGCUAAUACCGGAUGAUAUUUUGAACCGCAUGGUUCAAAAGUGAAAGACGGUCUUGCUGUCACUUAUAUAUGGAUCCGCGCUGCAUUAGCUAGUUGGUAAGGUAACGGCUUACCAAGGCAACGAUGCAUAGCCGACCUGAGAGCGUGAUCGGCCACACUGGAACUGAGACACGGUCCAGACUCCUACGGGAGGCAGCAGUAGGGAAUCUUCCGCAAUGGGCGAAAGCCUGACGGAGCAACGCCGCGUGAGUGAUGAAGGUCUUCGGAUCGUAAAACUCUGUUAUUAGGGAAGAACAUAUGUGUAAGUAACUGUGCACAUCUUGACGGUACCUAAUCAGAAAGCCACGGCUAACUACGUG